RNAcentral lists this long non-coding RNA (226 nucleotides) under Vigna radiata. Its description in RNAcentral is "long non-coding RNA (VRAD_LNC003475)". The record is from RNAcentral. Lineage: Eukaryota; Viridiplantae; Streptophyta; Magnoliopsida; Fabales; Fabaceae.
GGGAUCAACACAAUCACUAAAAAAUUGUUUCAUGUUUAGAAUCCAUGACAUUUUCUCAUACUUCCAUGACAACAUUUCAUGCCUUAACAAAAUUUACUAAUAUUUUGCACUUGACUUGCACAAUUUUCUAAAUGUGAAAACGACAUAGGAGAUGAUAACAUUCAGGAAAUACAAUGUUAAUGGCAUUAAUGAAAGCAAAGUCUCUAUCACUAACAAUGACUUGUGG